Non-coding RNA from Notechis scutatus (mainland tiger snake), 1119 nucleotides. The record is from RefSeq and is a predicted model, not a curated record. Lineage: Eukaryota; Metazoa; Chordata; Lepidosauria; Squamata; Elapidae.
CUUAAAACCAGACGGAUUUCUCCUCUUCCCUUAAGGUGAAAUGCGAGAACAACAACGUGAUAACCUCGUCCAUGCGGUUGUAGUCGCAGAGGGAGCAGCUGUCGGAAGCCGAGAAGUAAAUGCCUUUAGCGUCCUUCAAAAUAUCCUUGGAGCAGGACCUCUUAUUAAGAGAGGAAGCAGGAUUACCAGCAAACUUGUCCAGGAAAUUACAAAGACGACUUCCCUACCCUUUGAUGUAACAGCAUUCAAUGUGAAUUAUUCUGAUUCUGGUCUUUUUGGCAUAUAUACCAUCUCUCAAGCUUCAGUCACCAGGGAGGUAAUCAAAGCGGCUUUGAAUCAAGUGAAGGCUGUUUCCGAGGGUGGAGUUACUGAGGAAGAAGUGAAAAGAGCCAAGUAAGUUUCCCACUCCCCACUCCCCCAAGAUUGUUUGAUUAUACAGUGAUUUUUUCACUCUCCAAAAAUAUUGUGGGUCCUUCUUCUUUCUGAUAAGCUUUUUUGACUAACAGGUAUGGCUAUGUGUAAUAUAAUUCUCUGGGUCUGUUAAACCUUUAUUAAGCUAGAGUAAAAAAAAAAAAUCACAGCUUUCUGUAUGUGUGAAACUUGUUCAUCAUCCAAAAUGAACAAUAAAGUAUUCAGAAGCAAGGUUAUAACGGAGAUAGAGCACAUGGUUUUUAUUAUGUAUUUGUUUGUUUGAGUUUUAUCCCUUUAUUAAUUCAUAAGUAAUCCAAGAUGAACGUAUACAAUAUUCCUUCCUCCUUUUAGUCCCACAACCAACCACCUUGUGAGGUGUGGGUUAGGCUAAGAGAGGGGGACUGCCCAAAGUCGGCCAGCCAGCAGCAUUCAUGGCUAAGCUGGGACUCAAACUCACCAUCUCCUGGUGAUUGGCCCAAAAUCAUUCAGGUUUUCCUGCCUAAGGCAGGACUAGAACUCACAGUUUCCUGGUUUCUAGGCCGGCACCCUAACGACCUCACCAACCUGGUUAAAUGCAGAACUUCCUGGUGUCCCAAGAGCAUUGUCUUGUCUGAGAUUCUUAGCCAUUGCUCUGUCAGUCCAGAGAAAAUGAGAUAAGUGGCCAAACAGUUAAUUUGUUGUAUUUGCAAUCAGUUGAAUCAUUUUUUU